UCUUUCCUUUUUAUUACAAUUAUAUUCCUUGCACUAGUCAGGUGAGUUAACAAACCUAUGCACAGAGUUGUUUCAUCAGUCUGUGUGCGUACACGAUAACUAAAUUCUCCAUUUACGUUAAUAUACAAGUGGGAUGUUUAUUGUUGGCUUUUUUGCCAUUGUCGAUAAAGAUGAUCAGCCGUUUUUUGAAAGGUCAAGGUAUGGAAGAUGAAAAACUUACACUGAUACCAAUGAACCAAUAGCCCAGCUGCGUCAUUGUUCUUCAUCUCAAUGUGGAUGUAGAUUGGAAUAACAUCUAACAGAUUCUUAAAGGUGAAAAACAUUGUUACUGACAAUUUGUUAGAUGCUUGAAGGUGAAAAAUAUUUGUUGUACCACUUUUGUUGUUGAGCACUAGAAUGGUCCUAACGAGUAGCCCUAGUGUUUAUAUCUCAUCCAAAGACAUUGUAGUAAAUCCAAAUUGAAACCAAAAUGAAGGUAUUGGCGCCCGCUGAAUAAUGAAGUUGAAAUAAUAAUAAAAAAAAAUGGUUGGAAGGUAUAGAGUGUAUGACAAGUAUAAAUUUUCGAGUUAUCAACUUGUCAGAGUCAGACACGCUAGAUCUGCCAACGAAAAUUUUACUUUUCCGUAGAUUUCGUUAGUCCCUCUAUUCUUCAUCUUCCUCUAACACCUAUAUUUGGACUACCUAUUUGGAUUUUCAAUGAUCGUCAAAUUAAACAAAUCUGCAUAAGAAGUGUACCGAUAUGAGGGACGACAAUGGAUGUGAGCUCUGAGUCUACAAGGAAUCAGUUCUUAGAUGGAUUAGGGUGCAACGAUCAGUUGCGUGAUCUUAUGGGUGAUUUGUGGUAUUUAUUCUGUUUCACUGAAAGUAACAAAGUAACAACGCCCACUACAGCAGUGUAAUGUUGAAGACGAAGACGGUUCUGGGAGUAAAAUGAUGAUCUGGUUUUUAACACAUUUUUAUUGAUUCCUUAAAUUAAAUUUGUUUUUUUUUUGUUCUCUCAAUUUAAAUAUGGUAAAUUCAUAUCUUAUUGUACUCCAAGUUAUAUGUUUUUCAUUUUGUCAAUAUUUUAGUUACAUUUUAUAUUCUGACUAAAAAUGCCUUCCAUAAUAUAGAUAAUAAUAAACCUAACUAAUAUAAAAAUUUGAGAAAAUUUGUCGGGUGCAAUAAAAUCAUUUCAAAAUUAUUAUUUUUUUCUUCUCUUCAAUUUCAUUUUUACUUUU
This is a long non-coding RNA of Bradysia coprophila, 1220 nucleotides long. NCBI's taxonomy places the organism in Eukaryota, Metazoa, Arthropoda, Insecta, Diptera, Sciaridae. The record is from RefSeq and is a predicted model, not a curated record.